RNAcentral lists this ribosomal RNA (459 nucleotides) under uncultured bacterium. RNAcentral describes it as "partial 16S ribosomal RNA". It matches the Rfam family "Bacterial small subunit ribosomal RNA", at positions 338 to 794 of the family's 1533-position model. The record is from RNAcentral.
CCUACGAGCGGCAGCAGUGAGGAAUAUUGGUCAAUGGGCGGAAGCCUGAACCAGCCAAGUAGCGUGCAGGAUGACGGCCCUACGGGUUGUAAACUGCUUUUAUACGGGAAUAACGCGCCUUACGUGUAGGGCUUUGCAUGUACCGUAUGAAUAAGGACCGGCUUAUUCCGUGCCAGCAGCCGCGGUAAUACGGAAGGUCCGGGCGUUAUCCGGAUUUCUUGGGUUAAACGGGAGCGGAGGCCGCAUGACAAGCGUGCGGUGAAAUGUCCGGGCUCAACCCGGGCCUUGCAGCGCGAACUGGCGUGCUUGAGUCCGCGGAAGGCAGGCGGAAUUCGUCGUGUAGCGGUGAAAUGCUUAGAUAUGACGAAGAACCCCGAUUGCGAAGGCAGCUUGCUGCAGCGGAACUGACGCUGAUGCUCGAAAGCGCGGGUAUCGAACAGGAUUAGAUACCCUAGUAGU